CUUGUAUGCUCGCCAGAGAAUACCAAAACUCUUUUUAUUAAUGUCGUCUGAGUACUAUAUAAUAGUUAAAACUUUCAACAACGGAUCUCUUGGUUCUGGCAUCGAUGAAGAACGCAGCGAAAUGCGAUAAGUAAUGUGAAUUGCAGAAUUCAGUGAAUCAUCGAAUCUUUGAACGCACAUUGCGCCCCUUGGUAUUCCGGGGGGCAUGCCUGUUCGAGCGUCAUUUCAACCCUCAAGCUUAGCUUGGUAUUGAGUCUAUGUCAGUAAUGGCAGGCUCUAAAAUCAGUGGCGGCGCCGCUGGGUCCUGAACGUAGUAAUAUCUCUCGUUACAGGUUCUCGGUGUGCUUCUGCCAAAACCCAAAUUUUUCUAUGGUUGACCUCGGAUCAGGUAGGGAUACCCGCUGAACUUAAGCAUAUCAAUAA
RNAcentral lists this ribosomal RNA (423 nucleotides) under Botrytis cinerea. Its description in RNAcentral is "eukaryotic LSU rRNA". The stretch from base 70 to 223 matches the Rfam family "5.8S ribosomal RNA". Lineage: Eukaryota; Fungi; Ascomycota; Leotiomycetes; Helotiales; Sclerotiniaceae. The record is from RNAcentral.